RNAcentral lists this ribosomal RNA (464 nucleotides) under uncultured bacterium. RNAcentral describes it as "partial 16S ribosomal RNA". It matches the Rfam family "Bacterial small subunit ribosomal RNA", at positions 29 to 507 of the family's 1533-position model. The record is from RNAcentral.
ACGAACGCUGGCGGCGUGCUUAACACCUGCAAGUCGAACGGAAAGGCCCCCUUGUGGGGUACUCGAGUGGCGAACGGGUGAGUAACACGUGAGUAACCUACCCUUGACUUUGGGAUAACUUCAGGAAACUGGGGCUAAUACCGGAUAGGAGCUCCUGCUGCAUGGUGGGGGUUGGAAAGUUUCGGCGGUUGGGGAUGGACUCGCGGCUUAUCAGCUUGUUGGUGGGGUAGUGGCUCACCAAGGCUUUGACGGGUAGCCGGCCUGAGAGGGUGACCGGCCACAUUGGGACUGAGAUACGGCCCAGACUCCUACGGGAGGCAGCAGUGGGGAAUAUUGCACAAUGGGCGGAAGCCUGAUGCAGCAACGCCGCGUGCGGGAUGACGGCCUUCGGGUUGUAAACCGCUUUCGCCUGUGACGAAGCGUGAGUGACGGUAAUGGGUAAAGAAGCACCGGCUAACUACGUG